Molecule: ribosomal RNA, 405 nt
Filed under: bacterium
Lineage: Bacteria
Description: bacterial SSU rRNA
Rfam family: Bacterial small subunit ribosomal RNA
Source: RNAcentral
CAGUGGGGAAUUUUGCGCAAUGGGGGCAAGCCUGAUGCAGCAAUGCCGCGUGGAUGAUGAAGUCCUUAGGGUUGUAAAGUCCUUUCGCCGGGGAAGAUAAUGACGGUACCGGGAGAAUAAGCACCGGCUAACUUCGUGCCAGCAGCCGCGGUAAUACGAAGGGGGCUAGCGUUGUUCGGAAUUACUGGGCGUAAAGGGUGCGUAGGCGGUUUGACAAGUCUUGUGUGAAAUCUCUGGGCUCAACCCGGAAACUGCAUUGGAAACUGCCGGGCUUGAGUAUGGGAGAGGUGAGUGGAAUUUCCGGUGUAGCGGUGAAAUGCGUAGAUAUCCGAAGGAACACCUGUGGCGAAAGCGGCUCACUGGACCAUAACUGACGCUGAUGCGCGAAAGCUAGGGGAGCAAACA